RNAcentral lists this transfer RNA (70 nucleotides) under Dipodomys ordii (Ord's kangaroo rat). It matches the Rfam family "tRNA". From Rfam's summary of the family: Transfer RNA (tRNA) molecules are approximately 80 nucleotides in length. The record is from Rfam by way of RNAcentral. Lineage: Eukaryota; Metazoa; Chordata; Mammalia; Rodentia; Heteromyidae.
GGGAAUGUGGCUUAGUGGUAGAGUGCUUGCCUAGCAUGCAUGAAACUCUGGAUUCGAUUCCUCAGUACCA